RNAcentral lists this ribosomal RNA (858 nucleotides) under fungal sp. MX347. Its description in RNAcentral is "eukaryotic LSU rRNA". The stretch from base 611 to 858 matches the Rfam family "Eukaryotic large subunit ribosomal RNA", at positions 1 to 241 of the family's 3401-position model. The record is from RNAcentral. Lineage: Eukaryota; Fungi.
AAUAGGUUGAAGCUGACUUUUCGGAGUAUGUGCUCGCCUUUUGUAACUUACUACUUUUCCACUUGUGAACCUUUGUAGACUAUGAAUGAAAUAAACUCAUCUGAAAAUGGUGGUUAAGAGAGGUUUGUUCUUACAGAGCAUCCUUUUGUUAGUAGUUCAUAGUCUAUGUUAUAUUUACCCUUGAUUGAAUGUUAAUGAAUGUCAUUUUACUGGUCUUUGACCUUUAAACUUUAAUACAACUUUCAGCAACGGAUCUCUUGGCUCUCGCAUCGAUGAAGAACGCAGCGAAAUGCGAUAAGUAAUGUGAAUUGCAGAAUUCAGUGAAUCAUCGAAUCUUUGAACGCACCUUGCGCUCCUUGGUAUUCCGAGGAGCAUGCCUGUUUGAGUGUCAUUAAAUUCUCAACCUUAUCAGUUUUUUAUUAAAUUGGUUCAAGGCUUGGAUUUUGGGAGUUGCAGGCUUCUCUUUUGAAGUCAGCUCUUCUUAAAUGUAUUAGUGGAGACUUGUAACCGUCGCCUUGGUGUGAUAAUUAUCUGCGCCUUGGUGUAUUGGUGACUAGUAAUGUCUUUGCUUAUAACAGUCCAUUAGAUUGGACAAUCACUUUAUGACUUUUGACCUCAAAUCAGGUAGGACUACCCGCUGAACUUAAGCAUAUCAAUAAGCGGAGGAAAAGAAACUAACCAGGAUUCCCCUAGUAACUGCGAGUGAAGCGGGAAGAGCUCAAAUUUAAAAUCUGGCAGUCUUUGAUUGUCCGAGUUGUAAUUUAGAGAAGUGUUACCCGCGCCGGACCGUGUACAAGUCUCCUGGAAAGGGAGCAUCAUAGAGGGNGAGAAUCCCGUCUUUGACAUGGACUACCGGGG